CCAGGAACAACUUUUCACCUGUUCUUACUGCUGUGAUUACGUUCCCUGGCAUUUGCAGAGUCGAAGGGACAGAGAGAGGGAGAGAAACAUCAAUGUGUGGUUGCUUCUCGUGCACAUUGCCCACUGAGGACCUGACCUGGCCCAAAACGCAGGAGCUGCCUGGCCGGGCAGUAAUUUUGGCACAGGGUCUCAUGAGGUUGUAGUCAGAUGUCUGCCAGGGCUGGAGUCAUCUGAAGACUUGACUGAGAUUAGAGGAUCUGCUUCUGAGAAGACUCUCACGUGGAUGGUCUUGCAGUAAAUUUAAGAAGGCCAAUUUAAGACCAAG
This is a long non-coding RNA of Artibeus jamaicensis (Jamaican fruit-eating bat), 325 nucleotides long. RefSeq lists it as uncharacterized. The transcript has 4 exons. The record is from RefSeq and is a predicted model, not a curated record. NCBI's taxonomy places the organism in Eukaryota, Metazoa, Chordata, Mammalia, Chiroptera, Phyllostomidae.